GUCUAUGGCCAAACCAUCCUGAACACACCCGAUCUCGUCUGAUCUAGGAAGCUAAGCAGGGUCGGGCCUGGUUAGUACUUGGAUGGGAGAUCUCUCACUCCCUCCCUCAUUCACU
Molecule: ribosomal RNA, 115 nt
Organism: Ochotona princeps (American pika)
Lineage: Eukaryota; Metazoa; Chordata; Mammalia; Lagomorpha; Ochotonidae
Source: Ensembl